GGGGGAGGUCGGAUCCUGGGCUGUGUCCCGGCGCCCUGAGCUCCGGGGCCUGCGCUUUAGGAUCCACCUCCCGCCCCGCAGACCCCU
Molecule: microRNA precursor, 87 nt
Filed under: Canis lupus familiaris (dog)
Lineage: Eukaryota; Metazoa; Chordata; Mammalia; Carnivora; Canidae
Also listed under: 1 other name
Description: mir-8799 microRNA precursor family
Rfam family: mir-8799 microRNA precursor family
Source: Rfam by way of RNAcentral